AGUUUAUUGAAUUUAUAAUAGAUAUUUUCUGCCCGGUGAUUAAAUUUUAACGGCCGCGGUAUUUUGACCGUGCAAAGGUAGCAUAAUCAUUUGUCUUUUAAUUGGGGACUGGAAUGAAUGGAAGUACGUGGAAAAUAUUGUCUCUUAUUUUUUAGUUGAAUUUUCUUUAUAGAUGAAGAAGUCUAUAUAAUUUAAAAAGACGAGAAGACCCUAUUGAGUUUUAUUUUGUUUUUAUAAUUUUUUAUUUUAAAUUUAAUUUAGUUGGGGUAACUUGGGAGGAUUUUUAUUCUCUUUUUUUUAUUUUGAUCCAGUAUUAUUGAUAAUAAGAAUUAAUUACCAUAGGGAUAACAGCGUAAUUUUUUUAGAGAGUUCUCAUCGACAAAAAAGAUUGCGACCUCGAUGUUGGACUAAAAUAUCCUAAGGGUGUAGAAGUUUUUAAGGGUAGGUCUGUUCGACCUUUAAUAUUUU
RNAcentral lists this ribosomal RNA (468 nucleotides) under Tubulanidae sp. MCZ IZ 45557. RNAcentral's name for it is "partial 16S ribosomal RNA". It matches the Rfam family "Bacterial large subunit ribosomal RNA", at positions 1831 to 2597 of the family's 2925-position model. Lineage: Eukaryota; Metazoa; Nemertea; Palaeonemertea; Tubulaniformes; Tubulanidae. The record is from RNAcentral.